UACAGAGGGUGCAAGCGUUGUCCGGAUUUAUUGGGUUUAAAGGGUGCGUAGGCGGUUCUAUAAGUCAGUGGUGAAAUACGGCAGCUCAACUGUCGAGGUGCCAUUGAUACUGCAGAACUUGAGUACAGACGAGGUAGGCGGAAUUGACGGUGUAGCGGUGAAAUGCUUAGAUAUCGUCAAGAACACCGAUAGCGAAGGCAGCUUACUAGACUGUAACUGACGCUGAGGCACGAAAGUGUGGGGAUCAAACAGG
This 253-nucleotide ribosomal RNA is filed under the name uncultured bacterium. RNAcentral describes it as "partial 16S ribosomal RNA". It matches the Rfam family "Bacterial small subunit ribosomal RNA", at positions 524 to 776 of the family's 1533-position model. The record is from RNAcentral.